This 440-nucleotide ribosomal RNA is filed under the name uncultured bacterium. RNAcentral describes it as "partial 16S ribosomal RNA". It matches the Rfam family "Bacterial small subunit ribosomal RNA", at positions 338 to 795 of the family's 1533-position model. The record is from RNAcentral.
CCUACGGGUGGCAGCAGUGGGGAAUAUUGCACAAUGGGGGAAACCCUGAUGCAGCGAUGCCGCGUGAGUGAAGAAGUAUUUCGGUACGUAAAGCUCUAUCAUCAGGGAAGAAAAUGACGGUACCUGACUAAGAAUCCCCGGCUAACUACGUGCCAGCAGCCGCGGUAAUACGGAGGGGGCGAGCGUUAUCCGGAUUUAUGGGGGUGAAGGGGGGGGUAGACGGCAGGGAAGAUCUGAAGUGAAAUCCCAGGGCUUAACCAAGGAACUGCUUUGGAAACUGUGCACCUGGAGUGCAGGAGAGGUAAGGGGAAUUCCUAGUGUAGCGGUGAAAUGCGUAGAUAUUAGGAGGAACACCAGUGGCGAAGGCGGCUUACUGGACUGUAACUGACGUUGAGGCUCGAAAGCGUGGGGAGCAAACAGGAUUAGAUACCCGAGUAGUC